CAAAGCACUUUGAAGAGAGAGUUAAAUAGGACGUGAAACCGGUGAGGUGGAAACGGAUAGAGCCGACGUAUCUGUCCUGUAUUCAGCCACUGAUUGGGUGUGAUUUAUCAUGCUCGAUAGUGGUGCACUUACAGGUGGAGUGCGCUGAGACUUGUGGUGAAGUGGCUUGAUAGUUGCUUUGCGAGCGUGCCUUUACGGGUGCGUUUCCCGGGCAUUUGGAGAGCUGUCAUCACUGCAUGUAGCGUGUGGCCACUCGUGCCUAUUGGCCUUCCGGUGGGCGUAGGGUUUUCGGCUCGCAUGCGAGUUCCGUCAAUCGCAAAACUCACUGGUUGGUUCGAUGGCGGGGUUGUGCAUCUCGGUGUGAAAGUUGGUCAUCUAUCCGACCCGUCUUGAAACACGGACCAAGGAGUUUAGCGCAUGCGCGAGUCAUUGAGUGAACGAAACUCAUAGGCGUAAUGAAAAUAAACGCCUAGCGGAUAUGUGAUCCCGGACGCCACUCAAAUGGCUAAGGGCGCAGCAUAGCCCUGUGACGAUUGCGCUUGCGCAAUGUUGCGGAGGUAGAGCGUAUGUGAUGAGACCCGAAAGAUGGUGAACUUUACCUGAGCAGGAUGAAGCCGGAGGAAACUCUGGUGGAGGUCCGAAGCGGUUCUGACGUGCAAAUCGAUCGU
This 668-nucleotide ribosomal RNA is filed under the name Tylenchidae sp. CD207. RNAcentral describes it as "eukaryotic LSU rRNA". It matches the Rfam family "Eukaryotic large subunit ribosomal RNA", at positions 367 to 905 of the family's 3401-position model. The record is from RNAcentral. Lineage: Eukaryota; Metazoa; Nematoda; Chromadorea; Rhabditida; Tylenchidae.